GAUGAACGCUGGCGGCGUGCCUAAUGCAUGCCAGUCGAGCGAACAGACGAGGAGCUUGCUCCUCUGACGUUAGCGGCGGACGGGUGAGUAACACGUGGAUAACCUACCUAUAAGACUGGGAUAACUUCGGGAGACCGGAGCUAAUACCGGAUAAUAUAUUGAACCGCAUGGUUCAAUAGUGAAAGACGGUUUUGCUGUCACUUAUAGAUGGAUCCGCGCCGCAUUAGCUAGUUGGUAAGGUAACGGCUUACCAAGGCAACGAUGCGUAGCCGACCUGAGAGGGUGAUCGGCCACACUGGAACUGAGACACGGUCCAGACUCCUACGGGAGGCAGCAGUAGGGAAUCUUCGGCAAUGGGCGAAAGCUUGACGGAGCAACGCCGCGUGAGUGAUGAAGGUCUUCGGAUCGUAAAACUCUGUUAUUAGGGAAGAACAAAUGUGUAAGUAACUAUGCACGUCUUGACGGUACCUAAUCAGAAAGCCACGGCUAACUACGUG
This 497-nucleotide ribosomal RNA is filed under the name uncultured bacterium. Its description in RNAcentral is "partial 16S ribosomal RNA". It matches the Rfam family "Bacterial small subunit ribosomal RNA", at positions 28 to 507 of the family's 1533-position model. The record is from RNAcentral.